RNAcentral lists this transfer RNA (71 nucleotides) under Trigonodes hyppasia. RNAcentral describes it as "tRNA-Glu". The record is from RNAcentral. Lineage: Eukaryota; Metazoa; Arthropoda; Insecta; Lepidoptera; Erebidae.
GUUUAUAUAGUUUAAUUUUAAAACUUUACAUUUUCAUUGUAAAAAUAAAAAUAAUUUAUUUUUUAUAAAUA